RNAcentral lists this long non-coding RNA (2641 nucleotides) under Malus domestica (apple). RNAcentral's name for it is "long non-coding RNA (MDOM_LNC004776)". The record is from RNAcentral. Lineage: Eukaryota; Viridiplantae; Streptophyta; Magnoliopsida; Rosales; Rosaceae.
GAGGAAAGAAGGAAGGGAUGGGGUGGGGGUGGGGGGAGGUAAAAGAUGGGUGUGUUUUUUUUGUUUUGUUUUUUUUUUUGUAUUUUUUUAAUUAUUUAAUAUUGAAGUGGGCCCAUAUUGACAUGUGGCGCCCAAUAAUGAUCUAUGUGGGCAUCACGUCAUCAGUUAAUAGAAGUUCUAACGGAAAACUUAACAGAUAUACGAGACUAUCCUAAAAUUAAUACUUUAGGUAUGACUCUGGGAUGAAAAAAACUUCAUGUACUAAAUGUUGAAAACCACGAAACUUGAGGGUAGUAAACUGAGAUUCACCCAUUAAUCUAUAUGAGAGGAGAGAGAGGAGAAAGAAAGAAAGUGAGCCAAAAGGACAGAGAUACGAGUGAGUAACAGAGAUGGGUAUGAAAAUAUUUCAUCUUUUAAGCAUUUUUAACACAAUUGUCAUUCUAAAGGGUAAUUUUGUAAUUUACAUUCCAAAGAAAAUAAGUUAAUGAUGUCAUUAUUAACUUUUGUCUCUCAUUGAAAUGUUUAAAAAGUGUUGUCCCAAUAUAUAAUUAAGUAUUAAAAGUAUACUCUAUGUGUAAGUUUUUUCUAAAAAGUAAUCAAAAUUAAUUUUAGUUUUUAUUCUAUUGGUUGUUAAUGAGACGCAUGCAUUAAAAAAUUAAAUUAAAUAUAUUUAACUCCUUUGUUUGCUUAAACAAAGACAGUUAGGGAGUACGGAGUCAAAUGACUCAACUGCUACAUCAUAUAUGACAUAUUCAUUGGAGAACAUUUGAAUGUCUUUUAACCAUAUUUGACAUAUUUGACAUCUUAUUUGGAGAUGGUCUAACCCUUGUGUUUCACUUUUCCAUUCAAGCUGCACAUUUUGCUUACAUUUUAAACGAGUUAUUCCUACACUAUUCUUUUCACUUUUAGCAUUUUUAUGUUUUUCCUAGUUAGUAGAUUGAAUAGCUCAAAAUAGAAUGAAUGUACAUAAUUAAGGAGGGAUCUAUUGAUGCACGUUAAUCCCACGCUGCAUUAGCCACUCGCAUCACCCAUAUGGUAGUGGGCGACGAAUGAUAGAAUGAUAGCAUAUUUAUUGUCUCAUUUUACCCCAACUUAUCGUUCUUUUCUUGACCAAGUUCGGUUAUACUAACUAUAUUCUACUAUACCUAUGCUUCAUUUCUUACCAAUUGAGCUAAUGCCAAUUACUCGUGCCAUGAAACCAACUGUUAUAAACAAAUAGAAAUAAUUGAACAAAUGAUUGAUCGGUGUUUACCUUGAACUUGAGAUACUCGAUGAAUUGACUGUGAGUAAGAAUUUUAUGCCAUUCAAAAUCAGUUGUAAUGAAAAUAAUGAAUUUAAAGUAAUGAUGCAGAUAUAUUUGAAAAUAAGUUUUAUUGAAAACUUACUUAGAAACUUAUAAUUGAUUUACUAACAAUUGAGUCAACAAAUUUGAAUGAAAAAAAGGAUAUUGGUGCACGCAAACAUCCUUGACAUUUGAAAAUUAAAAGUGUUUACAAAUUUAAACUGGGAAAUUACAAGCUGAUUUUUGCUUCUGUUAUGUUGUUGGAGAAUACGUAGAAGUUUCAGCCCUCCUGGAAUAAGACCUGAGGUUUCUUUUAAUAGACUGGAAAUAAUUGAGUGGAAUGAUUGAGGCCGAGAAUCUUGCUGUCUUCUGAGUUGAAAGAUGAUGAUUAAAGUUGAUGACUGUUGAAUCACGCGGCUCCUGUUGGGAAGCAGAAUGAUGGCUUGCUUUUACUGCUGAUGAAUAGUGAAAAAGUGAUUUUACUAUUCAUGAAUAGUGAAUUGUCUGGAAUCUAGAAUGAUGGCUACUGCUUUCGGUGCUGGAAAUGACAUGUUUCCUAUUGGGGUCACAUGCCUAGUUACUGUGUCUUCACAUGUUUGAAUUAUUCAAAGAUCGAAUGGGUCCUGGAAUCCUGAUAAUAUGCUGCUUGAGAUUUUUUACUUGCUGAAUUGGCUGGAUGCUAUGACGAUGCGCAAAGCUGCUUCUGCCAUUAACCGUUGGGCUAAAUCUUUGAGCUGGGAUUAUUUUUCUUUCUUCUUUGAACUUGUUGAUUUGGAUGACUUAGUUGUUCCCUUGAGGGAUGAAGACAGGCUAAUGUCUGAUAAAGAUUGUUCUGGAAUGGUUGGUAAUGCCAUUGUUGGUUGCGCUGGAAUAGCUGGAAUUGGAGUGAUGGGAAACUCUGAGAGGACCAGAUUGAUGAUCUUCUGAUGAUUGAAUUUAUCCCACCACUUGACUGGUCUUGAUCUGUAGACUUCACCGGUUUCAACUUCAUAAUUCCACUUCAAAAUUCAUAGGACUUUGUACUUGGCCAUGAAUAAUAGGAGAAGUGUAAUCCUGUAGUUAAAUCGGCUUUUGUCAAAUUUCUUCUGGAAACCAGCUGAUAAGACUUGCAUGAGUUCUUCUGGUAAGAGGCUGGCUGUUGGGCCAUGAACCAACCACCAUUUUGGGAACCAUGCUGAGAAAUUUAACCUGAAACUCUUGUCAAAAUUGAUUAACCAUGAAUGACUAAAGUCUUCUAUUUGAUGGAGGAAAAUGUUAGUCCAUACUUGAAUGUAAUCAAAAUAAUUGUAAUGGUUAUUGGGAAUGAGAACAUGCUGGUUAUUAAAAACUUUCCAAUAUAAAUAGAAUGGUAAAAGAUUU